CUGCUGCCUCCCGUAGGAGUUUGGACCGUGUCUCAGUUCCAAUGUGGGGGACCUUCCUCUCAGAACCCCUACGCAUCGUCGGCUUGGUGGGCCGUUGCCCCACCAACUACCUAAUGCGCCGCAUGCCCAUCCGUGACCGGGGUCGCCCCCUUUGGCCGGCAGGGGAUGUCCCCUCCCGGCAUUAUGUUGUAUUAGGCGGGAUUUCUCCCGAUUAUCCAUCUGUCACGGCCAGGUUGCAUACGUGUUACUCACCCGUGCGCCGGU
RNAcentral lists this ribosomal RNA (264 nucleotides) under uncultured bacterium. RNAcentral's name for it is "partial 16S ribosomal RNA". The record is from RNAcentral.